This 361-nucleotide transfer-messenger RNA is filed under the name Rubrobacteraceae. RNAcentral describes it as "Rubrobacter_C taiwanensis Standard tmRNA". It matches the Rfam family "transfer-messenger RNA". Rfam says of the family: Bacterial tmRNA, also known as 10Sa RNA or SsrA, is named for its dual tRNA and mRNA-like properties. The record is from RNAcentral. RNAcentral also lists the same sequence under 1 other name. Lineage: Bacteria; Bacillati; Actinomycetota; Rubrobacteria; Rubrobacterales.
GGGGGCGAAAAGGCUUCGACGGGAGUGGACAGCGCCCUGUGAGACGAGCCGAGCUUGCCGGAAGCUCGUAAAACCCCGGCGACAUAAACACACACGCCAACGAUAGAGAGAUGGCGCUCGCUGCCUAAAACCAUUUUGGCAGCGCAUCGGCCCGGAUGGCCCGCGAUCCGGUGUCCGGUGUCAGAGUAGCGGGCUCACCUCCGGGACUGUGGCCCCAGGCCCGGGGGGACAUCUGAGGGGCUAGCCCGGCUGUGGGGCCCCGGUCCGCAGCCGGUAGCGAAGACAAACCGGGUGCAACGCUCGUACAAUCUCACGGGUGGCGCACUCGCGGACGCGGGUUCGAUUCCCGCCGCCUCCACUC